This is an RNA transcript of Oryza brachyantha (malo sina), 2420 nucleotides long. RefSeq lists it as uncharacterized. Lineage: Eukaryota; Viridiplantae; Streptophyta; Magnoliopsida; Poales; Poaceae. The transcript is spliced from 6 exons. The record is from RefSeq and is a predicted model, not a curated record.
GCGAUAGCAUAGAGGCAAAAGGGUGAGAGCCAAGAGCAAAACCCUCGCCGCCGACCGCACCGCACACCAAUCCCUAAUCCUCGCGGCCGCGGCCGCGGGCACGCCCCCAGCCCGCUGCCGUCUCCGCCACCGGCCCGUGUUCGCUGGGUGAGGCGAGGAAGGCGGAGGCGACGCCAUCAUUCUCCCCUCCGGCGGCCACCUUCUUGCUCUUCGGGUUCGGUUCUUGCCUUCUUGGUGCUCGGCUCCCCUCCGGCGGCCACCUUCUUGCUGGGACAUAUCUCCGCACUCACAUUUCUGUUAGUACUAAAUUAUCAGAUGAUGGCAGUGCGCAGCCUAAGGUUGCUGGGAGAGCCCCACAUGGCCAAAGUCAGCAUUAAGCAUUUGCUAAGGUUCAGGGGUAUGUCAACUGCUGAUAAUUUAGCCAUGCAACUUAAGAGCUAUCCCAGACAUGUACGCAAGCUGCCACGGUGGAUAAGGGAGGCUCAAGAACCUCGAGUUCACACAAGAGAUGACAUUUUUGAACAUGUAAUGAAAAUGUCAAGUGAAUUCAAGCUCCUUUGUUCAGAAAGCAUGCAGAUACAAAUCUUUGAGGAGGAGAUAAAGCCUUUCUUGGUUUCGAGGUGCCUUCUCUGUCCAGUGCCCAUGGGAAGCCGUUUGUUUAAAGAGAUGCACCAAAUGAUUCAUGGAACUACUCACCAAUUUCCUCACUAUCUAACAUCGAAGACUUUGAUGAGAAUUCUUAUGACUCGCAGUCGCAUGGAUUGGAGAGCCAUCCUUGAGUGCUUGGUCAGCCAAAGGGUCAUGGUGAUGUUGGAUUGGGUAAACGAGCUGUCAAUUGCUGAAGUACUUUUCUAUGACCAUGGGUUACUGUUGGCACCGCAGUCUGGAGCAUUACACGAUCAGACUGUGUACAAGGGUGAAUGUGAUGCUUGUUAUCACAAGCCAUUGAAAUCUGACAGCACCACAAAGGGUGAAGCAACAGUGGCUUCAGUUAUUUGGAAAACCACUGGUUCCUCCGCUGAUCUAUUGGAAUGCCAAGUCAUAAAGGGUUUAUCUUGCAAUAGCUCGGAACAUGCUGAGGCUAUUGGACUACUUGGUCUCCUUACAAGAGGAAAAGAGCUUGGGAUUAAGAAGUUUGAUGUCGUUACUGACAAUGAGGGUAUAUGCAACAUUAUGAUGGGGAAACGGGAUGUCUGUUCCAGCAAAAAUGCAGACACCUGCAUGGCGGCUAUUCAAACUGCGAAAUAUUAUGAGACUUUGAAGUGUAGGUGGGAACCACGGGAAAUGAUUGAUCAUGUUAAUGAUAUUGCCAGAGCAGUACACAUGUCAAACACUGAUGAUUUGCAAUUGACAGUCAUAUUGGAGUCGAAAUCAUCACAAUUUUGGGGCAAGCCAUUCCUCCGUGUCAAGCAAGGUCGUAAGGAGACAGAAGACCGCUUAGGAAAGUGGAAGAUCAACCAGCCUCCUGCUUUUGCUACCAAUGAGUAUUACAUGAAGGUCCAGAGCAAGUUGGAGAAAACUGAUUCUUUUGAAGGACUUUUGGAUGUAAUUGAUUCUGAUCUGAUUCUUGUCCUCGCUUCUGAUGUGUCAGCACAAGAGGUUUUAACCACAUUAGGGGCAGAUUACUGUCUCUCUAUUUGGGAAUCUGGAGCCCUAGUUCACGAGACUCUUGGCACUACUGACCGCAGAGCACAUCUGCUAAUCAAUCACAAUAGUGUUAUUCCAUUGUUUGCGGCGAGCAAGUGCUUAAUGAUUGUGUAUGACAACCCACCGCAUUCAAUCCAGUACCACCCCGAUCAAGAUGUUGCAGGUGUUAAGUGUGUGCACAUUGUUGAACCUGGAAAUAAGUCACAUUCAAAUUCAAUUCCCUGUUCAGCACAAGAGGUUGAUCCCUUCUUAUAUGGGUUUUUCCAACAAUCUGGAAACUAAUGCAUGCAAAAUUCUGCAGGCAACAAUGGUGCAGGAGGUUCCAAGGGUGUUGGGGGAAGAGAGGAAAGUUGAGCUCUACUCAGUGGAAUGCCGAUUGGAAGAGCACUACCGGACGAUGAAAGUUCUCUGCCUUGUUCUAUACUUUCUAUAAAUUGGCUUCCCUGUGGUGAAGGGAUGGUUUUGGGAGAGUUGUUCUUAAGUAUAGUUUCAUUAAUGACCUAUGUUAGAUGCAGAUACGGGUAGGAAAAUUUUGCAGUUUCGACUACUAAAUUUGACAAGUCUAUGUAAACGAUUAACGCUGUUAGAACUCAUGAUGCAUUGAUUACAGUCUCAUUGACAUUUCACCUGAUUUUGUAUUCUAGCGUUCUAGCGCAAAGUAUUUUGGUCCUCCGAUUAUGUCGAGACUUGAUGAAUAUCAGUUUUGUGAUGGCAGGUUCUGUGCAAAUAUUAUGCUGCUGGAGUAUUUAUUACUUAACUGCAGUGCUAUCUCU